CCUACGGGAGGCUGCAGUGGGGAAUAUUGCACAAUGGGGGAAACCCUGAUGCAGCGACGCCGCGUGAGUGAAGAAGUAAUUCGUUAUGUAAAGCUCUAUCAGCAGGGAAGAAAAUGACGGUACCUGAGUAAGAAGCCCCGGCUAACUACGUGCCAGCAGCCGCGGUAAUACGUAGGGGGCAAGCGUUAUCCGGAUUUACUGGGUGUAAAGGGAGCGUAGACGGCAGUGCAAGUCUGGAGUGAAAGGCGGGGGCUCAACCCCCGGAGUGCUCUGGAAACUGUACGGCUUGAGUGCAGGAGAGGUAAGUGGAAUUCCUAGUGUAGCGGUGAAAUGCGUAGAUAUUAGGAAGAACACCAGUGGCGAAGGCAGCUUACUGGACUGUAACUGACGUUGAGGCUCGAAAGCGUGGGGAGCAAACAGGAUUAGAUACCCCUGUAGUC
RNAcentral lists this ribosomal RNA (440 nucleotides) under uncultured bacterium. RNAcentral's name for it is "partial 16S ribosomal RNA". It matches the Rfam family "Bacterial small subunit ribosomal RNA", at positions 338 to 795 of the family's 1533-position model. The record is from RNAcentral.